CAGUAGCCGCGGUAAAACGGAGGGCGCGAGCGUUACCCGGGUUUACUGGGCGUAAAGGGCGUGUAGGCGGCCUGGGGCGUCCCAUGUGAAAGGCCACGGCUCAACCGUGGAGGAGCGUGGGAUACGCUCAGGCUAGAGGGUGGGAGAGGGUGGUGGAAUUCCCGGAGUAGCGGUGAAAUGCGCAGAUACCGGGAGGAACGCCGAUGGCGAAGGCAGCCACCUGGUCCACUUCUGACGCUGAGGCGCGAAAGCGUGGGGAGCAAACCGGAUUAGAUACCCCGGUAGUCCCUGUCUCUUAUAC
Molecule: ribosomal RNA, 301 nt
Filed under: uncultured bacterium
Lineage: Bacteria
Description: partial 16S ribosomal RNA
Rfam family: Bacterial small subunit ribosomal RNA
Source: RNAcentral